ACAGUCACACAUUAGAUACCCCUGUAGUCCUGGCCGUAAACGAUGUGGACUUGGUGUUGGGAUGGCCUCGAGCUGCCCCAGUGCCGAAGGGAAGCUGUUAAGUCCACCGCCUGGGAAGUACGGUCGCAGGACUGAAACUUAAAGGAAUUGGCGGGGAGCACCACAACGCGUGGAGCCUGCGGUUUAAUUGGAUUCAACGCCGGACAUCUCACCAGGGGCGACAGCAGGAUGAUGGCCAGAUUGACGAUCUUGCUUGACAAGCUG
Molecule: ribosomal RNA, 264 nt
Filed under: uncultured archaeon
Lineage: Archaea
Description: partial 16S ribosomal RNA
Rfam family: Archaeal small subunit ribosomal RNA
Source: RNAcentral